GAUGAAGAACGUAGCGAAAUGCGAUAAGUAAUGUGAAUUGCAGAAUUCAGUGAAUCAUCGAAUCUUUGAACGCACAUUUCGCCCCUUGGUAUUCCGGGGGGCAUGCCUGUUCGAGCGUCAUUUCAACCCUCAAGCUCUGCUUGGUAUUGGGCACCGUCCUUUGCGGGCGCGCCUCAAAGACCUCGGCGGUGGCGUCUUGCCUCAAGCGUAGUAGAAUACACCUCGCUUCGGAGCGUAAGGCGUCGCCCGCCGGACGAACCUUCUGAACUUUUCUCAAGGUUGACCUCGGAUCAGGUAGGGAUACCCGCUGAACUUAAGCAUAUCAAUAAGCGGAGGA
This 337-nucleotide unclassified non-coding RNA is filed under the name soil metagenome. RNAcentral describes it as "partial contains 5.8S ribosomal RNA, internal transcribed spacer 2, and large subunit ribosomal RNA". The stretch from base 1 to 120 matches the Rfam family "5.8S ribosomal RNA", at positions 35 to 154 of the family's 154-position model. The record is from RNAcentral.